RNAcentral lists this long non-coding RNA (1062 nucleotides) under Fukomys damarensis (Damara mole-rat). Its description in RNAcentral is "lncRNA (ENSFDAG00000032740.1)". The record is from RNAcentral. Lineage: Eukaryota; Metazoa; Chordata; Mammalia; Rodentia; Bathyergidae.
CCGGCGCCAGCGAGAAGAGCGAGCCGGAAGUGCAGUGGACCGCGUCCACCUCCGUGGAGCAAGUGAGAGAAAGGAGCUACCAGAGAGCUUUGCUGCUCAGCGAUCACAGGAAAGACAAGGACAGCGGGGGAGAAUCACCAUGUGUCUCAUGUUCCCCGAGCCAUGUUCAGUCCUCACCUUCAUCUCAUUCAAAUCACAUUCCCCAGUUGCAAGCUAAGGGCCUAGGCCCUCUCAGUGAACUCGUGGAAGACCCCGAUCCUGAAAAUCCAGAACCCACAACGACAAAUGAGUGUCCAUCCCCAGAUAUUUCUCAAAACACCUGUAAAAGCCCUUCAAAGACGAACAAGGUAAUGAUACGGACUUGACUGUGGCCACUGAACCCUGAUGGUAACGCGCAGAGGGGUGUUCUGCUGAUGAAGGGGCGCUCUGGGAUUUCUGGACACUUUCUGCCAAAUGUACUACUCGGUUGUGCUAUCUUACUGGUUCUCCCGCAUUAGACCGUGAGACAAUACAAGGAUUCCAGUUCUCCACGCACACGGCAGUAGCGCAUGCUUUAUCCGAAAGGUCCACCCUGUUCUAACGGUGCCCAGGAAACCCACAACUUUUCACGAGUUACUUAGCCAGCCCGUGCUUUAUAAACCAAAGGUGAAGAGACAUCCAUUUAGAGAGGGUCACUGGCCCUCCUGGCUCAAGGCCCUGUGAUAUUUGAGGGUGGCUUUUCGUUUAACAACGAGAUCACACACGUUUCAGUCCUAUGUGAGUAGUUGACAAGAAAAGCUUGAGGGGCAAAAGUUUAUUUACCCAAACCAAUUUACUCUUAAGCUGGAUAGAGAAAUUUCACUUGCGGAAUGGAAACCUGGUAACUGUUUCGCGGUUAAUACAGUUCCUUCAGUGGGUAAGGCUCAGAAAUGUCCCUGACCAUGAUGUCCUCCAUCUGUCGAGCUACCACAGCUCGGCUACCCUACCCAGAAAGCCUCCGGCCUCCGCGGCCGCCCGGUACGUGAGCGCGACUCCCGGCCAUCUGGCCGUCGGCGCGCAGUCACCGCUUUCUCUCUCUUGCAG